CUUAAAUUGGAAGUCAGUUUCACUGCAUUUAAUUUGAUUUUCUCUUGCCAAAGAGACCAUACUUUCACGAUGUUUCUCUUUUCUCCUAGUGUGAAGAUCACUUGUCUUCUGUCUCAAAUCUCCCUGCGGGUUGAACACUGUCUUCAUCCUAUUGGAUACCUACACCGUUACCUACUCAUCGUUCUAAUGGUUCUACGUUUACAUGGUUGACUCUACGGCUGUUCGGCUACAUCAAGAAAGAGGAAUUGGGAGGAGCCUGAUGGCAGUUUAUAUUAC
Non-coding RNA from Pelobates cultripes (western spadefoot toad), 276 nucleotides. The record is from the annotation of a GenBank genome assembly. Lineage: Eukaryota; Metazoa; Chordata; Amphibia; Anura; Pelobatidae.